This 721-nucleotide ribosomal RNA is filed under the name uncultured Actinomycetes bacterium. Its description in RNAcentral is "bacterial SSU rRNA". It matches the Rfam family "Bacterial small subunit ribosomal RNA", at positions 61 to 793 of the family's 1533-position model. Lineage: Bacteria; Bacillati; Actinomycetota; Actinomycetes. The record is from RNAcentral.
GUCGAACGAUAAAGCUGGAGCUCGCUCCGGUGGAUUAGUGGCGAACGGGUGAGUAACACGUGAGAAAUCUGCCCUUGACUCUGGGAUAACUGCGGGAAACUGUAGCUAAUACCGGAUACUUUCCUCGGUGGGCAUCCACUGGGGAAGAAAGAAUUUCGGUCAAGGAUGAUCUCGCGGCCUAUCAGCUAGUUGGUGAGGUAAUGGCUCACCAAGGCGACGACGGGUAGCCGGCCUGAGAGGGUGACCGGCCACACUGGAACUGAGACACGGUCCAGACUCCUACGGGAGGCAGCAGUGGGGAAUAUUGCACAAUGGGCGCAAGCCUGAUGCAGCAACGCCGCGUGAGGGAUGAAGGCCUUCGGGUUGUAAACCUCUUUUAGCAGGGAAGAAGCGAAAGUGACGGUACCUGCAGAAAAAGCACCGGCUAACUACGUGCCAGCAGCCGCGGUAAUACGUAGGGUGCAAGCGUUGUCCGGAAUUAUUGGGCGUAAAGAGCUCGUAGGCGGUUUGUCACGUCUGCUGUGAAAUUCCGAGGCUCAACCUCGGACUUGCAGUGGGUACGGGCAGGCUAGAGUGCGGUAGGGGAGAUGGGAAUUCCUGGUGUAGCGGUGGAAUGCGCAGAUAUCAGGAGGAACACCAAUGGCGAAGGCACAUCUCUGGGCCGUAACUGACGCUGAGGAGCGAAAGCGUGGGGAGCGAACAGGAUUAGAUACCCUGGUAG